GCUAGUAGCAGCACCAUGCAUGUAGCGAGGCUGGAGGAACAAUUGAGCGGUACCCCACAGAAGAUGAAAUUUAUCUCCCUGAAGCUCUUUGGCAAGAGCCACCACUUCAUCCAAGUUUGCAUUUGUUUCCUCAAGGGUCUUUCCCUCUGGAGCGAUGUCCCUAUCGUGGAAGCACCAUCUUUCUACUCCAAGUUUCUCCAGGAAUUCAAAGUUGGCUCUCAGUCUUCUCUUGGCCAUAGCCAGGGAAUUGGUGCCAUCUUCCCACGGCCACGACUUUGUAGGAGCACCAAAUGGAUCAGCUCCUGUGCCACGGAAUGUAUGCCAAAAU
This 328-nucleotide unclassified non-coding RNA is filed under the name Hevea brasiliensis (rubber tree). The record is from RNAcentral. Lineage: Eukaryota; Viridiplantae; Streptophyta; Magnoliopsida; Malpighiales; Euphorbiaceae.